GAUGAACGCUGGCGGCGUGCCUAAUACAUGCAAGUCGAACGAAACUUCUUUAUCACCGAGUGCUUGCACUCACCGAUAAAGAGUUGAGUGGCGAACGGGUGAGUAACACGUGGGCAACCUGCCCAAAAGAGGGGGAUAACACUUGGAAACAGGUGCUAAUACCGCAUAACCAUAGUUACCGCAUGGUAACUAUGUAAAAGGUGGCUAUACUACCGCUUUUGGAUGGGCCCGCGGCGCAUUAGCUAGUUGGUAGGGUAAAGGCUUACCAAGGCAAUGAUGCGUAGCCGAAUUGAGAGGUUGAUCGGCCACAUUGGGACUGAGACACGGCCCAAACUCCUACGGGAGGCAGCAGUAGGGAAUCUUCCACAAUGGGCGAAAGCCUGAUGGAGCAACGCCGCGUGGGUGAAGAAGGUCUUCGGAUCGUAAAACCCUGUUGUUAGAGAAGAAAGUGCGUGAGAGUAACUGUUCACGUUUCGACGGUAUCUAACCAGAAAGCCACUGCUAACUACGUG
This 512-nucleotide ribosomal RNA is filed under the name uncultured bacterium. RNAcentral describes it as "partial 16S ribosomal RNA". It matches the Rfam family "Bacterial small subunit ribosomal RNA", at positions 28 to 507 of the family's 1533-position model. The record is from RNAcentral.